Molecule: ribosomal RNA, 513 nt
Filed under: uncultured bacterium
Lineage: Bacteria
Description: partial 16S ribosomal RNA
Rfam family: Bacterial small subunit ribosomal RNA
Source: RNAcentral
GAUGAACGCUGGCGGCGUGCCUAAUACAUGCAAGUCGAGCGAACAGACGAGGAGCUUGCUCCUUUGACGUUAGCGGCGGACGGGUGAGUAACACGUAGGUAACCUACCUAUAAGACUGGGAUAACUUCGGGAAACCGAAGCUAAUACCGGAUAAUAUUCCGAACCGCAUGGUUCGAUAGUGAAAGAUGGUUUUGCUAUCACUUAUAGAUGGACCUGCGCCGUAUUAGCUAGUUGGUAAGGUAACGGCUUACCAAGGCAACGAUACGUAGCCGACCUGGGAGGGUGAUCGGCCACACUGGAACUGAAACACGGUCCAGACUCCUACGGGAGGCAGCGGUAGGGAAUCUUCCGCAAUGGGCGAAAGCCUGACGGAGCAACGCCGCGUGAGUGAUGAAGGUCUUCGGAUCGUAAAACUCUGUUAUUAGGGAAGAACAAACGUGUAAGUAACUGUGCACGUCUUGACGGUACCUAAUCAGAAAGCCACGGCUAACUACGUGCCAGCAGCCGCCGUAA